RNAcentral lists this transfer RNA (72 nucleotides) under Bos taurus (domestic cattle). It matches the Rfam family "tRNA". Rfam says of the family: Transfer RNA (tRNA) molecules are approximately 80 nucleotides in length. Lineage: Eukaryota; Metazoa; Chordata; Mammalia; Artiodactyla; Bovidae. The record is from Rfam by way of RNAcentral.
UCCCUGGUGGCUCAGCUGGUAAAGAAUCUGCCUGCAAAGCAGAAGAUCUGGAUUCAAUCCCUGGGUUGGGAA